UGAGCGGGAAGUGAAUUUGGAAGAAGGCGAGAAAAGCUGUGUGAAUAGAAGAUAGAGCCCGUACCGCAAACCGACACAGGUAGAUAGGAAGAAGAUUCUAAGGCCAACGGGAGAAGGGUUGUUAAGGAACUCGGCAAGUUGACCCCGUAACUUAGGGAGAAGGGGUGCUCUUUAAGGAGAGCCGCAGAGAAUAGGCCCAAGCGACUGUUUAGCAAAAACACAGCUCUAUGCUGAAUCGAAAGAUGACGUAUAUGGGGUGACACCUGCCCGGUGCCGGAAGGUUAAGAGGAGGAGUGAGAGCUCUGAAUUGAAGCCCCGGUAAACGGCGGCCGUAACAAUAACGGUCCUAAGGUAGCGAAAUUCCUUGUCAGGUAAGUUCUGACCCGCACGAAUGGUGUAACGAUUUGGGCACUGUCUCAACAACCUGCCCGGCGAAAUUGUAGUACCGGUGAAGACGCCGGUUACCCGCGACUAGACGGAAAGACCCCAUGGAGCUUUACUGCAGCUUAAUAUUGAAUUUCGGUAUUUCAUGUACAGGAUAGGUGGGAGACAGGGAACCAUAGGCGUCAGCUUAUGGGGAGUCGACCUUGGGAUACCACUCUUGAGGUGCUGGAAUUCUAACCUGUGGCUCUGAAUCGAGUCAGGGGACAUUGUUAGGCGGGCAGUUUGACUGGGGCGGUCGCCUCCAAAAAGGUAACGGAGGCGCUCAAAGGUUCGCUCAGCAUGGAUGGAAACCAUGCUUUUGAGUGUAAACGCAAAAGCGAGCCUAACUGCGAGACUGACGGGUCGAGCAGUAACGAAAGUUGGAGUUAGUGAUCCGGCGGUAUGUGAGUGGAAAUGCCGUCGCUCAACGGAUAAAAGCUACCCUGGGGAUAACAGGCUGAUCUCCCCCAAGAGUCCACAUCGACGGGGAGGUUUGGCACCUCGAUGUCGGCUCAUCGCAUCCUGGGGCUGAAUUCGGUCCCAAGGGUUUGGCUGUUCGCCAAUUAAAGCGGUACGCGAGCUGGGUUCAGAACGUCGUGAGACAGUUCGGUCCCUAUCUGUCGUGGGCGUAGGAUAUUUGAAAGGAGCUGUCCCUAGAACGAGAGGACCGGGAUGGACGCACCGCUGGUGCACCAGUUGUCAUGCCAAUGGCACAGCUGGGCAGCUAUGUGCGGAACGGAUAAACGCUGAAGGCAUCUAAGCGUGAAGCCGACCUUAAGAUAAGAUAUCCCUUCGUAAGAGUAAGACCUCUCAUAGACUAUGAGUUUGAUAGGCCUAAGGUGUAAGCACAGUGAUGUGUUCAGCCUGCAGGUACUAAUCGGUCGAGGGCUUUUCC
Molecule: ribosomal RNA, 1318 nt
Filed under: metagenome
Description: bacterial LSU rRNA
Rfam family: Bacterial large subunit ribosomal RNA
Source: RNAcentral